This 511-nucleotide ribosomal RNA is filed under the name uncultured bacterium. RNAcentral describes it as "partial 16S ribosomal RNA". The record is from RNAcentral.
GGAGUUAGCCGGUGCUUCUUCUGCGAGUAACGUCACAGAUGUAAGGUAUUAACUUACACCCUUUCCUCCUCGCUGAAAGUGCUUUACAACCCGAAGGCCUUCUUCACACACGCGGCAUGGCUGCAUCAGGGUUUCCCCAAUUGUGCAAUAUUCCCCACUGCUGCCUCCCGUAGGAGUCUGGGCCGUGUCUCAGUCCCAGUGUGGCUGAUCAUCCUCUCAGACCAGCUAGGGAUCGUCGCCUAGGUGAGCCUUUACCUCACCUACUAGCUAAUCCCACCUGGGCUUAUCCAUCAGCGCAAGGCCCGAAGGUCCCCUGCUUUCCCCCGUAGGGCGUAUGCGGUAUUAGCAGUCGUUUCCAACUGUUAUCCCCCACAAAUGGGCAAAUUCCCAGGCAUUACUCACCCGUCCGCCGCUCGUCAUCUUCAAAAGCAAGCUUUUGAAAUGUUACCGCUCGACUUGCAUGUGUUAGGCCUGCCGCCAGCGUUCAAUCUGAGCCAGAAUCGAACCCUGA